This is a long non-coding RNA of Esox lucius (northern pike), 3729 nucleotides long. NCBI's taxonomy places the organism in Eukaryota, Metazoa, Chordata, Actinopteri, Esociformes, Esocidae. The record is from Ensembl.
GUGGGAAAACCUGCAAAAUCGGCAGUGUAUCAAAUACUUCUCCCCACUGUAUCUUCUGUCAUUUACAUUGUUACUUCCUAAUAGAUAUAUUUAAUUAUAUAUUUUAUUUUAUAUGCCUUUGGAAAAAUAUAAUUUUGCUUGUGUCCACGAAGGUCUUUAGUAUCAUUAGAAUAGAAAGAGGUAUCAUUUCAAUUGACAGGAUAGAGUUUUCAUUACACGGUGUCAUCGGCGGACCUGUGUGAACCCUGGAAAUACUUGGGAGACGGGAAAUACUAUAAAUAUCAUUUAGCUGUGAUUUUUUAAAAUGUUUAUGUUUUUAUUUUUAUUUUCAAAAGCUCUUUCUUGUGUUAAAGUCUUUGUUGUGAAGAACUUGUUAUAUUAUGAUAAGCUGUAUGAUUCAUUUGACGUUGCUUGGUCUGGUUUUCUGCUGUGGUAAGCACACACUUGCUGUGUCUCAGAUGGACUCUAAUACAGGUAAUACAUUUCCUGUGUCAUGCUGUUUCAAAAAUCAUUAAGCAGACAAUCUUAUCCAGCGCAACUUUCUGGAGCAAUUUCUCACCUUGUCACUCUGAGAUUUUAACCAGCAAGCGUUAAGUUUCCUGGCCCAAAAGUUUAACCACUUGGGUAGCUGCCUAAUUUAGCCUUGGAACCAUUCCUUUGACCCCAGCUCACUCACCUUCAAGGACAGGAGAUUGCAAUUAUCUCAGAAACAAGAGAAACCUUUUCCAAUCCAUCAGUGCUGUUGGAUGAUGUGUAGACACUGCAAAGGGUCCGGGAGCGUUGGGGUUUUCAAUGGAUGAAAAGAUGUCCCCAGAGGCCUUUAUUGUUGGCAAGAGAAAGAGCCUACUGGGCUAAUGUUGUAUCAGCCCAUCAGGCAUUAGCCCUUUUGUUUCUCCCAGGAAACUCUUGUGUGCUGUUCAAGUGGAAGAGUCCUGUCCCAAACAGAAGGUCGGCGCUGAAGAACCUUGUUAAUGAGUUGAAUGCUACACCAGUUUCUUUUUAAAAUGUCGAACUACUCUGGAAGCCAAGUUCUCCAGUGAAGCCCUCACCUGCCUCCAAACAGGGUAAUGUAGGUGAAUGACAUUAUUAACAACUAGCUGCCAGUCCACUGGUAAUGUCUCUGUGCUGAGGAUGGCACACCUGCAACUAUAGGAGUGUAAAAUAUAUGUAUUUACAUAUGAUGUAUUUUUUCAAUGUUAAUAAUAACAAUUAAUAGUGAUUAAGGUCUGGAAUUUACGUAAUCAGGGUUUCUUAGAAACAAUGUUUUCAGUCGUUUAAUUGGAGUCACAUUAAUAAUUAGGAUUUGUAAAUGUCACAGUUGGAAAUCUAGUUUUUGCAUUGAUUUAGUUUAGCCUGCUGAUUUCAUAUAGCACUUGAAUUGUAAAUGGAUUUCCUUACAGCAGGAAAAAAUCAUAUUUUCCACAUAUUCUUGGCGUGGUUUUGAUAUUCGAGCAGAACAGUCGCACAGUGACCUAACAGCACUACCCAUCGGAUUUGUGUCACCUAAGAAGAGAUGACGUGAGCUGAGGGAUUAGAGUGUAAAGGGAGACUGGCACUGUCUCCGUCCCCUCUUCCCUGUAAAGAGCACCUACAUACCAGAGUCCUAUGAGUAGUGUAUUACAUAAGGAAUAGGGUGGUAAAGUAGUGUACUACAUAGGGAAUAUGGUGCCAUUUGGGAUGCCUGUACACUUCUACUUUACCUUCCACCCCGGCUUCUCCUCACUUAGAAAGCAAUAACCUCUACAUUUGACACAUCCGUUUUAAUGUUCACAUUCAGGAAAAUGAUUCCCUUCUCACCAACAUGGAUGCUGUGCGUCAAACACACACACACACACACACACACCAUCCCGACUCCCUCCAAGGGCACAGAUCCGUACAGAUUUCCUUGUGUGUGUGACGUGACACUUUGUCACAGUCAAUGCUGAGUGUUAUUGUGAAGGCCAGGUGUGGUAGCUGAGGGCUGUUAUUGUGAAGGCCAGGUGUGGUAGCUGAGGGCUUUUAUUGUGAAGGCCAGGUGUGGUAGCUGAGGGCUUUUAUUGUGAAGGCCAGGUGUGGUAGCUGAGGGAUUUUAUUGUGAAGGCCAGGUGUGGUAGCUGAGGGCUUUUAUUGUGAAGUCCAGGUGUGGUACUGAGGGCUUUUAUUGUGAAGGCCAAGGUGGGCAGGGUGGAAGGGUAGCCUGGGUGGGCAGGGUGGAAGGGUAGCCUGGGUGGAAGGGUGGAAGGGUAGCCUGGGUGGGCAGGGUGGAAGGGUAGCCUGGGUGGAAGGGUGGAAGGGUAGCCUGGGUGGAAGGGUACCCUGGGUGGGCAGGGUGGAAGGGUGGAAGGGUAGCCUGGGUGGAAGGGUGGAAGGGUAGCCUGGGUGGAAGGGUGGAAGGGUAGCCUGGGUGGAAGGGUGGAAGGGUAGCCAGUGAUUGGGCCAGUAAAGAUGGCUGGUUCGAAUUCUUUAGCCGACAAGGUGAGCAAGACAGUUAAGAAUCAUUUCUUCCAGGUUGUAAGAAUGUCUUCAAUAAUAGUUAGUAAAAGAGAAGGUAAUAGUUCCUGAUGUCACAGCAGUAAAAGCAGAGAUUCCUUUUGUUUAAAGUAAUAUUUCACCCAUUCAUCAGCUCUACUUUCUGGCCAUGUUCUUUUUCCACUCUGGAGGAAAUAUUUUGGGUUACAGUAUUUACUUCUGCCUCAGGAGUUACUGUGUGUGUCUGUGUUUGCGUUUGUUCUGGUACUGAUAUUCUGGAGUCUGGGCCUUGUUCACUUGCCGACAGAAUGUGGCCUUCAGAUUGCGGACCUACAUAUGUCCUGGGUGAAGCAGUUGUCCUGGUACAGCGCCGUGUCAGGGUGGCCUCAACCAGCUGAGCACAAGGUGUUGUUCUGUGAGCUGUCACAUACAGAGGCUGUAAAAUAUUACUGUACAUUUGAUCUGUGGCUCACAAAAAUGUGUGUAUCACCAAAAGGUAUUGACAUUACAAACAAAAUACAUUUUUGAAAGUUUCUACAAUGAGUGAACAUGCUUUUGUAGUAUUAUAAUAAAAUAUGUUUUAGAAAGUUAUUUAAAAGGUGUGUGUGUGUGUGUGUGUGUGUGUGUGAAGAGAUCUUCAGUUGUGCUUUCCAAAUGAGAUUCCACAGGAUGACUCAUCUUAGCCAUUUUAGCGGGUGGGUAAUUAGCUGUGUGGACCAAGAGCUGCACAUCUAUUCAAAUGUUCUCUUUUGUGGGACUGUCUGAGAUCUUGAUAAACUGUUUAAUGACUAAAGAACAAUGUCAAAAAUGUUGAUUGAAAUGCUUUGAUUAAAAUGGCUGUAUAUGGAUCAAAGAAACAAUCAUUUUGUAUAUUUAAUAUAAAGGCAAAAUACCUGAGAUUCUGUUUUUUUUGUGAAACAUUGUUUUUUCAAAAAGAAAAGUAGAUUGGAUCUGUCUCUUGAUAAGUUAGUUUGUAAAUUAAGUUUCCAGUUUCUCGGUGGGUCUAUUUUAUAUAGGAGUGUCCUUUAUUUUGCUGAGAUCUAUGCAAUAAGUUGAUUUCCAUUAACGUUCAUUGUAAUAUCCUUUUUUAAUAGCUGCAUCCCCAUGUACAAAGGAUUUGUACAAACAUUGAGAGGCUUCUGGUUUGAUAAACAUAACAAUAAAGGACUUUGUUCAAAUAGUGAAAUAUGCAGAAUGGAGUGUUGUCUUACACAAAAAUAUUUUCAGAUAUUCAUCAAAAGGACCAAAAAAAUUAUCUAAAUGUAUUUGAUCUAAUUUGAG